Molecule: ribosomal RNA, 270 nt
Filed under: uncultured bacterium
Lineage: Bacteria
Description: partial 16S ribosomal RNA
Rfam family: Bacterial small subunit ribosomal RNA
Source: RNAcentral
AAUCAACGCUGGCGGCGUGCCUCAGACAUGCAAGUCGAACGCGAAAGAGGUCUUCGGAUCUUGAGUAGAGUGGCGUCCGGGUGAGUAACACGUAGGUAAUCUACCUUCGGGUGGGGAAUAACCCAGGGAAACUUGGGCUAAUACCGCAUAAUGCAGCGGCACCACAUGGUGACAGUUGUUAAAGCGGGGGAUCUUAGGACCUCGCGCCUGAAGAGGAGCCUGCGGCGGAUUAGCUAGUUGGUGAGGUAAUGGCUCACCAAGGUUACGAUC